Molecule: transfer RNA, 66 nt
Filed under: Hoplopleura akanezumi
Lineage: Eukaryota; Metazoa; Arthropoda; Insecta; Psocodea; Hoplopleuridae
Description: tRNA-Ile
Source: RNAcentral
CUUGUUGUGCCGGAGGCUAUACGGAGUGCCUUGAUGUGGCACGGACGGCACACUUGCCCUGCAAGA